CCUAAAGAGAGUUCACUCAUCAGGUCAAAGUUGGUCUGUCCUGAUGGCACUACCUGCUGCUUGAUGAUGUCUAGUAGCCAUCGCUGCUGCCUUCAACGCGGUAGUCCUCACAAAUAAACUGAUAUCAAGAAUUAACAUAGAUGGUGAUGGUGGCAAGUGUGCCUUCAGAAGGUGCCACCCAGCAGUCCCAGCCUGCUUUUGCAAGUCCGAUGGGGGAUGAUCUAUGUUAAGGUCGUGUAAGCAAGAAGGCAAGUGCUGCUGCAGGCAAUGUUGCGAUAAGCCUGCAACAGAUAUAGCCGGCCUUCUAAAAUCCAAGAAUGAGGAAUGCCUGAAACAAGGAACAACUCGGCAGUGUAUGUGAACGUGUUUACCUGUGUGUGUAUGAGUGUGCAUGUGAGGGUAUGCGUGUGAGUAUGUAUGUGUGUGGGAGUGUAUGAGUGGUGGGUGUGUGUGUGUGUACAACUUGUGCUCUGAUUGUGCACCAGUUUGCUCAUGGUUAUGUGUUAGCCUGUACACUUUUUGUUUUGUUUUAGGUGGGUGAAUAUUUAUAUAUGUAUGGGUGUGUGCUGUAAUGUAUGUGUUUGUGUGUAAAUCCGUUGAGUUCAUAUCAGAUGAGGGCAACACCAUGCCAGUUUGAUCAUGGUUAUGCGUUUAAAUGUAUGUGACUACACCUGUAUGUAUGCUUAUGUAUAUUAGCCUGUAUGCUUUUUGUUUCGUUUUAGGUGGGUGAAUAUGUGUAUGGGUGGGUUGUUUUGUUGCUGGUUGUCUUUAAACAGUAAACUUGUUUAAAAUA
Molecule: long non-coding RNA, 793 nt
Organism: Alosa alosa (allis shad)
Lineage: Eukaryota; Metazoa; Chordata; Actinopteri; Clupeiformes; Clupeidae
Exons: 5
Source: RefSeq, a predicted model, not a curated record